RNAcentral lists this ribosomal RNA (1011 nucleotides) under uncultured bacterium. RNAcentral's name for it is "bacterial SSU rRNA". It matches the Rfam family "Bacterial small subunit ribosomal RNA", at positions 8 to 1011 of the family's 1533-position model. The record is from RNAcentral.
AGAGUUUGAUUAUGGCUCAGAUUGAACGCUGGCGGUAGGCUUAACACAUGCAAGUCGUGCGAGAAAGUAUCUUCGGAUAUGAGUAGAGCGGCGAACGGGUGAGUAACGCGUAGGAAUGUACCUAGUAGAAGGGGAUAGCCCGAGGAAACUCGGAUUAAUACCGUAUACCUCCUUCGGGAGAAAGAGGGCCUCUCUUUGAAGCUUUCGCUACUAGAUCAGCCUGCGUAAGAUUAGCUUGUUGGUGAGGUAAUGGCUCACCAAGGCUACGAUCUUUAGCUGGUCUGAGAGGACGAUCAGCCACAUUGGGACUGAGACACGGCCCAGACUCCUACGGGAGGCAGCAGUGGGGAAUAUUGGACAAUGGGCGCAAGCCUGAUCCAGCCAUACCGCGUGUGUGAAGAAGGCCUUCGGGUUGUAAAGCACUUUAAGCAGGGAGAAAAAAAUAUAGGUUAAUACCCUAUGUUCUUGAUGUUACCUGCAGAAUAAGCACCGGCUAAUUCCGUGCCAGCAGCCGCGGUAAUACGGAAGGUGCAAGCGUUAAUCGGAAUUACUGGGCGUAAAGCGCGCGUAGGUGGUUUGUUAAGUUGGAUGUGAAAGCCCUGGGCUCAACCUAGGAACUGCAUCCAAAACUGACUGACUAGAGUACGAUAGAGGGAGGUAGAAUUCAUAGUGUAGCGGUGGAAUGCGUAGAUAUUAUGAAGAAUACCAGUGGCGAAGGCGGCCUCCUGGAUCUGUACUGACACUGAGGUGCGAAAGCGUGGGUUAGCGAACAGGAUUUAGAUACCCUGGUAGUCCACGCCGUAAACGAUGACAACUAGCUGUUGGGAGGCAAUGCCUUUCAGUGGCGCAGCUAACGUUUUUAAGUUGUCCGCCUGGGGAGUACGGCCGCAAGGCUAAAACUCAAAUGAAUUUGACGGGGACCCGCACAAGCGGUGGAGCAUGUGGUUUAAUUCGAUGCAACGCGAAAAACCUUACCUACUCUUGACAUACUUGGAGGCUCUUGUAAUGAGA